This 1372-nucleotide ribosomal RNA is filed under the name uncultured bacterium. RNAcentral's name for it is "bacterial SSU rRNA". It matches the Rfam family "Bacterial small subunit ribosomal RNA", at positions 28 to 1381 of the family's 1533-position model. The record is from RNAcentral.
GAUGAACGCUGGCGGCGUGCCUAAUACAUGCAAGUCGAGCGAACGGACGAGAAGCUUGCUUCUCUGAUGUUAGCGGCGGACGGGUGAGUAACACGUGGAUAACCUACCUAUAAGACUGGGAUAACUUCGGGAAACCGGAGCUAAUACCGGAUAAUAUUUUGAACCGCAUGGUUCAAAAGUGAAAGACGGUCUUGCUGUCACUUAUAGAUGGAUCCGCGCUGCAUUAGCUAGUUGGUAAGGUAACGGCUUACCAAGGCAACGAUGCAUAGCCGACCUGAGAGGGUGAUCGGCCACACUGGAACUGAUACACGGUCCAGACUCCUACGGGAGGCAGCAGUAGGGAAUCUUCCGCAAUGGGCGAAAGCCUGACGGAGCAACGCCGCGUGAGUGAUGAAGGUCUUCGGAUCGUAAAACUCUGUUAUUAGGGAAGAACAUAUGUGUAAGUAACUGUGCACAUCUUGACGGUACCUAAUCAGAAAGCCACGGCUAACUACGUGCCAGCAGCCGCGGUAAUACGUAGGUGGCAAGCGUUAUCCGGAAUUAUUGGGCGUAAAGCGCGCGUAGGCGGUUUUUUAAGUCUGAUGUGAAAGCCCACGGCUCAACCGUGGAGGGUCAUUGGAAACUGGAAAACUUGAGUGCAGAAGAGGAAAGUGGAAUUCCAUGUGUAGCGGUGAAAUGCGCAGAGAUAUGGAGGAACACCAGUGGCGAAGGCGACUUUCUGGUCUGUAACUGACGCUGAUGUGCGAAAGCGUGGGGAUCAAACAGGAUUAGAUACCCUGGUAGUCCACGCCGUAAACGAUGAGUGCUAAGUGUUAGGGGGUUUCCGCCCCUUAGUGCUGCAGCUAACGCAUUAAGCACUCCGCCUGGGGAGUACGACCGCAAGGUUGAAACUCAAAGGAAUUGACGGGGACCCGCACAAGCGGUGGAGCAUGUGGUUUAAUUCGAAGCAACGCGAAGAACCUUACCAAAUCUUGACAUCCUUUGACAACUCUAGAGAUAGAGCUUUCCCCUUCGGGGGACAAAGUGACAGGUGGUGCAUGGUUGUCGUCAGCUCGUGUCGUGAGAUGUUGGGUUAAGUCCCGCAACGAGCGCAACCCUUAAGCUUAGUUGCCAUCAUUAAGUUGGGCACUCUAAGUUGACUGCCGGUGACAAACCGGAGGAAGGUGGGGAUGACGUCAAAUCAUCAUGCCCCUUAUGAUUUGGGCUACACACGUGCUACAAUGGACAAUACAAAGGGCAGCGAAACCGCGAGGUCAAGCAAAUCCCAUAAAGUUGUUCUCAGUUCGGAUUGUAGUCUGCAACUCGACUACAUGAAGCUGGAAUCGCUAGUAAUCGUAGAUCAGCAUGCUACGGUGAAUACGUUCCCGGGUCU